Molecule: transfer RNA, 70 nt
Filed under: Dipodomys ordii (Ord's kangaroo rat)
Lineage: Eukaryota; Metazoa; Chordata; Mammalia; Rodentia; Heteromyidae
Rfam family: tRNA
About the family: Transfer RNA (tRNA) molecules are approximately 80 nucleotides in length. Their secondary structure includes four short double-helical elements and three loops (D, anti-codon, and T loops).
Source: Rfam by way of RNAcentral
GGGAAUGUGGCUUAGUGGUAGAGUGCUUGCCUACCAUGCAUGAAGCCCUGAGUUCAAUUCCCCAGUACCA